RNAcentral lists this small nuclear RNA (196 nucleotides) under Zea mays. RNAcentral's name for it is "U2 spliceosomal RNA". It matches the Rfam family "U2 spliceosomal RNA". From Rfam's summary of the family: U2 is a small nuclear RNA (snRNA) component of the spliceosome (involved in pre-mRNA splicing). The record is from Rfam by way of RNAcentral. Lineage: Eukaryota; Viridiplantae; Streptophyta; Magnoliopsida; Poales; Poaceae.
AUACCUUUCUCGGCCUUUUGGCUAAGAUCAAGUGUAGUAUCUGUUCUUAUCAGUUUAAUAUCUGAUAUGUAGACUAUAUGUCUAUUUCGAUAUUAAAUUUAUUUUUUGUGGGGUAGAGCUCGCAACAGUAGCUUGCUACUGGAGCUCUCGAGCGUCGCUUAGGUGUUGCACUACCGCCUAGAGCGUCGCUUAGGUG